GCUGGUUGAUAGCUCAGUUGGUAGAGCAUGAGAGUCUUAAUCUCACAGUCAUGGGCUUGAGCCCCACACUGGGCA
Molecule: transfer RNA, 75 nt
Filed under: Podarcis lilfordi (Lilford's wall lizard)
Lineage: Eukaryota; Metazoa; Chordata; Lepidosauria; Squamata; Lacertidae
Description: tRNA.Lys
Rfam family: tRNA (bases 10-67)
About the family: Transfer RNA (tRNA) molecules are approximately 80 nucleotides in length.
Source: RNAcentral